Molecule: long non-coding RNA, 973 nt
Organism: Manduca sexta (tobacco hornworm)
Lineage: Eukaryota; Metazoa; Arthropoda; Insecta; Lepidoptera; Sphingidae
Exons: 2
Source: RefSeq, a predicted model, not a curated record
ACGACCAAAAGGAGCGGAGCAGCAAAUAAGUACUAAAAAUGUUGCAAAACCGGGGAAAAUUUAUUACUUUUGAGAGAUUGUGUUGCGUGCUCUGCGUAAAGGAUUAAAGUUAUGCUACAAUAUUUAUGACAGAAUUGUUCCUCAUAAAAAGUUCGAAAAAUAUAUCAUAAAACAAAUUCCCCUGCCGCAUUUGGCUGUCUGUCUGCUUUUCGCCUUUUUAAUGGCCACCGUGCAACUGGUGGCAAUAUGCACGCAAAUAAGGCUAAGAAGAAAUACGUAGGGACAACGUAUGACGCAGCUAUCACGCACACUAGCUUGCUUAUAAUACUUGGCCUACUAGUUUUAGCGUAAUUGAAGCGUGCUACUCCAUCUAGACAUUUAAUUUGUUAAACUAUAUUAAAUUUGUAGAACUAUAGAAUAACAUACAUAACUCCUAGUAAUUAAUAACUUUUUUAUAAUUUAAGUAAAUGCCACCUCCAGAAAAGUUUCAAAUAAAUUUGGGAUUCCGUUCACGAUGUUAGAUGGUAUUAUCUUAAAUCAAAAGAAGAAGGUACAAUUAACAUCUAACUCGUAUCUACUACUUACCUAAUUAUUAUGAAGUAUUUAGUAAAGAACAAGAAAUUUUCAGCGAAUAAACUAUUUCUUUUAUAUGAUUUUUUGCCUAGUUACCAUGAGAAAAGUUUUAAGUUUGGCCAUGAGUCAUGCCUCAAAAAGUCAAAGAAGGUGUUUAUUAUUUUAUGUUCAUUGAGUUUUUAUUUCAAUUUAAUUGAAAGUCUUCAGAACCGUUGAUUCGAUUUUUCUAAGACUUAGAAAUCCUCUAAAUAUUUUAGAAGUUAUAAUUAUUUUUCUAUUAUUAUAACAGAUUAUAAUGAUAGUUAAGUUCUCGAUAUUACGGAGCAGUGAUAAUUUCACACUGACUAAAUUCUGUGUUCAUUUGUAUAAGUAUUAAUAAAAACUACAAUGUUUUAAUUAA